Molecule: non-coding RNA, 21 nt
Filed under: Mus musculus (house mouse)
Lineage: Eukaryota; Metazoa; Chordata; Mammalia; Rodentia; Muridae
Source: RNAcentral
UUGUAGAAGCCAGUCAGGAAC